This 316-nucleotide long non-coding RNA is filed under the name Homo sapiens (human). Its description in RNAcentral is "HSALNT0087237". The record is from RNAcentral. Lineage: Eukaryota; Metazoa; Chordata; Mammalia; Primates; Hominidae.
CUGCUCAGAAUUAUUUACACCGGAUCCGAACUUGAGAAUUGGGAUUACGGAGGAACUCAAAUAGCUAUAUGGUAAUAAUGUCAUCAUAACUUCAACAGAUAUGUAUUGAGAAUCCUAGUACUAGACACUGAGAAGUCCAGCUGUGAACAAGGUAUAUGUGGUUUCUGCCUUUCUGAAUCUUAAGUCUAGUAGACUGCAUAGAUAUUUUGAACAGUAAUUGCCUAGGUGCUUGCUGAUGAGUUUUGCAACACCUGAAGAACGAAGUAACUGGGUGUCAAGGAAAGCCAGUUGACCUGUAAGAAGAGAUGUGGGCGGG